RNAcentral lists this small RNA (96 nucleotides) under Klebsiella pneumoniae. RNAcentral describes it as "partial RtT sRNA". It matches the Rfam family "RtT RNA", at positions 50 to 130 of the family's 130-position model. From Rfam's summary of the family: This family represents a bacterial cis-regulatory element known as RtT RNA. The exact function of RtT is unknown although it is thought that it may be involved in changing the cellular response in relation to amino acid starvation. The record is from RNAcentral. Lineage: Bacteria; Pseudomonadati; Pseudomonadota; Gammaproteobacteria; Enterobacterales; Enterobacteriaceae.
CAGCAUUUAACUCAGAUGCUGAACGUGAAGGAUAACGUUGCGACAGCAACGGCCCGAAGGGCGAGGCGAAGUCGAGUCAUCCUGCACGACCCACCA